RNAcentral lists this transfer RNA (71 nucleotides) under Candidatus Kaiserbacteria bacterium RIFCSPHIGHO2_02_FULL_59_21. Its description in RNAcentral is "tRNA-Pro". It matches the Rfam family "tRNA". Rfam says of the family: Transfer RNA (tRNA) molecules are approximately 80 nucleotides in length. Their secondary structure includes four short double-helical elements and three loops (D, anti-codon, and T loops). Lineage: Bacteria; Candidatus Kaiseribacteriota. RNAcentral also lists the same sequence under 1 other name. The record is from RNAcentral.
CGGGCCGUCGUAUAGUGGUAGUACACAUGGCUGGGGGUCAUGUAGCCCGGGUUCGAUUCCCGGCGGCCCGA